GAUGUCGGCUCAUCACAUCCUGGGGCUGAAGUAGGUCCCAAGGGUAUGGCUGUUCGCCAUUUAAAGUGGUACGCGAGCUGGGUUUAGAACGUCGUGAGACAGUUCGGUCCCUAUCUGCCGUGGGCGCUGGAGAAUUGAGGGGGGCUGCUCCUAGUACGAGAGGACCGGAGUGGACGCAUCACUGGUGUUCGGGUUGUCAUGCCAAUGGCACUGCCCGGUAGCUAAAUGCGGAAGAGAUAAGUGCUGAAAGCAUCUAAGCACGAAACUUGCCCCGAGAUGAGUUCUCCCUGAGACUUUAAGUCUCCUGAAGGAACGUUAAAGACGAUGACGUUGAUAGGUCGGGUGUGUAAGCGCAGCGAUGCGUUGAGCUAACCGAUACUAAUGAACCGUGAGGCUUAACCUU
Molecule: ribosomal RNA, 403 nt
Filed under: Enterobacter hormaechei
Lineage: Bacteria; Pseudomonadati; Pseudomonadota; Gammaproteobacteria; Enterobacterales; Enterobacteriaceae
Description: partial 23S ribosomal RNA
Rfam family: Bacterial large subunit ribosomal RNA
Source: RNAcentral